Molecule: long non-coding RNA, 1534 nt
Organism: Haliotis rubra (blacklip abalone)
Lineage: Eukaryota; Metazoa; Mollusca; Gastropoda; Lepetellida; Haliotidae
Exons: 3
Source: RefSeq, a predicted model, not a curated record
CCUACACCACCAUAGAUGUUCCAAAGUAAUAGGGACAGACAGACGCUUCUCGACGUGAGACGCGGAAAACAGGCCUGUAUUAAAGCAGCUGAUUCUAAGACCUUCUGAAUGUGAAUAUGGAGCUGCGGUGCAGCAUCAACAUUAUUACAGGUUUCUACUUCCUAGUCUGUGGUUCCUCUACCAACAUCAACAUCAUUACAGCCGGAAACCGCGUCAAAUACAGCACACACGACUACGGCGUUGACGUCAAGAAUAUCUCAUCGAUUCUCUUCCGGGUCAAGGGAUGCACGGAUGGGAGGAUAAAUCUUUUGAAGGUCCUGACUUUACCGCUGACAAGGAUGCAUAUGUUUUGCUCGGCGGAUGGGGAAAUCGUAAAUGUGCAAUGCAUCCGUGCACUGGCUGUACAACUCUAGAAUCGGUAUGGUUCGCCUCCGUCUUGAACUGCAAUGAAAUGAGACCAAUGUGGAUGAACUGGACUAAUAGAUUGUUUAGCAUUGGGAACGGGGCUUAUGUUGGAGAAGAGACGUUCCUCUCCACAGAUGAACAGAGGGACUUUGAUAUCCAGUAUAUGUCAGUUGGAUCUACUUAUGAAGACAUAUUUGACUGGGAAUUCGAUGGCUACGCCGGGAAUUACUUUGAGCGGGUGGUGCCUUAUGGUUGGAGUACACGCCAAACGUUGUCUUCAGUGACGGCCUCCUCCACGGUAAACUGCAUCAAAAGUUGCCAAGGCAGGAUCAGCUGUAGGUCAGUCAGCUACCAGAGCACAACCAACACCUGUCAGUUAUACUUUGAACAAUCACGAUCCGCUGAUAUCCACCCUGACAACACUUGGGAAACGUGGAUUGACAGAAAUGUGUGAAAGAUGCUCUCGGAGUCUACACAAGGCAAUGAGACUGAAAAUCAAAAUUAGGUGCAUCUUAGACAUCUAGCAAUACUGUCAUCCAACAGUCCAGAAGACUCUGAAAUACUCUGUGUACACACACACUCACGCACACAUCCACACACACGCACAUACACACACACUGAGGGAAUCAACACUAAAGUAGCCUAAUGACUUGUGACAUUUACUAGUAGCAUUGAGACAUGACAGCCGAACUUCUUCAGAAAAAAUCACUAACCUGUUCAAUUUUUUCUCAUACACAGUUUCCAAGGACAGUUCAUUCAUUUUGCAAAAUUCCAGGCGGAAAAAGACUUCAUGCAUGUAUAUCAUUUCAUAAUUUUUAAUAACAUUGCACUUUUUUCCGAUCCCUUUCUUUUUGAUACACUGCCAUAGUGCAGUCAUGUUUGGGUAAUAGUGCUGAUUUUAUGGGGAAAACUUACAUUUUAAUUAACAAAUCGUCUGGAUCAUAUGAACGUUCAAUUAAAGGCAUUAUGGUGUACUAUUUGAUUAAUCUGAAGGGCAAGUUUAUUAUUUUGGUGACUAUACACUCAACAAAAUUAGAAACCUGACACAUACAUUAUUGGUAAUUAUUGUGAGCUGGGGAAUUCAUUCACGAGGGGCUAUCAAAACAGUUUGAGCCAAAAAUACAUCUGA